UACGGAGGAUGCGAGCGUUAUCCGGAUUUAUUGGGUUUAAAGGGUGCGCAGGCGGAUUUUUAAGUCAGCGGUCAAAUCGUGGGGCUCAACCCCAUCCAGCCGUUGAAACUGGGGAUCUAGAGUGUGCGAGAGGUAUGCGGAAUGCGUGGUGUAGCGGUGAAAUGCAUAGAUAUCACACAGAACACCGAUUGCGAAGGCAUCUCACGAAUCCGCGAUUGACGCUGAUGCACGAAAGCGUGGGUAUCAAACAGG
RNAcentral lists this ribosomal RNA (252 nucleotides) under uncultured Bacteroidales bacterium. RNAcentral's name for it is "partial 16S ribosomal RNA". It matches the Rfam family "Bacterial small subunit ribosomal RNA", at positions 524 to 776 of the family's 1533-position model. The record is from RNAcentral. Lineage: Bacteria; Pseudomonadati; Bacteroidota; Bacteroidia; Bacteroidales.